Molecule: ribosomal RNA, 2921 nt
Filed under: Staphylococcus aureus
Lineage: Bacteria; Bacillati; Bacillota; Bacilli; Caryophanales; Staphylococcaceae
Description: 23S ribosomal RNA
Rfam family: Bacterial large subunit ribosomal RNA
Source: RNAcentral
UUAAGUUAUUAAGGGCGCACGGUGGAUGCCUUGGCACUAGAAGCCAAUGAAGGACGUUACUAACGACGAUAUGCUUUGGGGAGCUGUAAGUAAGCUUUGAUCCAGAGAUUUCCGAAUGGGGAAACCCAGCAUGAGUUAUGUCAUGUUAUCGAUAUGUGAAUACAUAGCAUAUCAGAAGGCACACCCGGAGAACUGAAACAUCUUAGUACCCGGAGGAAGAGAAAGAAAAUUCGAUUCCCUUAGUAGCGGCGAGCGAAACGGGAAGAGCCCAAACCAACAAGCUUGCUUGUUGGGGUUGUAGGACACUCUAUACGGAGUUACAAAGGACGACAUUAGACGAAUCAUCUGGAAAGAUGAAUCAAAGAAGGUAAUAAUCCUGUAGUCGAAAAUGUUGUCUCUCUUGAGUGGAUCCUGAGUACGACGGAGCACGUGAAAUUCCGUCGGAAUCUGGGAGGACCAUCUCCUAAGGCUAAAUACUCUCUAGUGACCGAUAGUGAACCAGUACCGUGAGGGAAAGGUGAAAAGCACCCCGGAAGGGGAGUGAAAUAGAACCUGAAACCGUGUGCUUACAAGUAGUCAGAGCCCGUUAAUGGGUGAUGGCGUGCCUUUUGUAGAAUGAACCGGCGAGUUACGAUUUGAUGCAAGGUUAAGCAGUAAAUGUGGAGCCGUAGCGAAAGCGAGUCUGAAUAGGGCGUUUAGUAUUUGGUCGUAGACCCGAAACCAGGUGAUCUACCCUUGGUCAGGUUGAAGUUCAGGUAACACUGAAUGGAGGACCGAACCGACUUACGUUGAAAAGUGAGCGGAUGAACUGAGGGUAGCGGAGAAAUUCCAAUCGAACCUGGAGAUAGCUGGUUCUCUCCGAAAUAGCUUUAGGGCUAGCCUCAAGUGAUGAUUAUUGGAGGUAGAGCACUGUUUGGACGAGGGGCCCCUCUCGGGUUACCGAAUUCAGACAAACUCCGAAUGCCAAUUAAUUUAACUUGGGAGUCAGAACAUGGGUGAUAAGGUCCGUGUUCGAAAGGGAAACAGCCCAGACCACCAGCUAAGGUCCCAAAAUAUAUGUUAAGUGGAAAAGGAUGUGGCGUUGCCCAGACAACUAGGAUGUUGGCUUAGAAGCAGCCAUCAUUUAAAGAGUGCGUAAUAGCUCACUAGUCGAGUGACACUGCGCCGAAAAUGUACCGGGGCUAAACAUAUUACCGAAGCUGUGGAUUGUCCUUUGGACAAUGGUAGGAGAGCGUUCUAAGGGCGUUGAAGCAUGAUCGUAAGGACAUGUGGAGCGCUUAGAAGUGAGAAUGCCGGUGUGAGUAGCGAAAGACGGGUGAGAAUCCCGUCCACCGAUUGACUAAGGUUUCCAGAGGAAGGCUCGUCCGCUCUGGGUUAGUCGGGUCCUAAGCUGAGGCCGACAGGCGUAGGCGAUGGAUAACAGGUUGAUAUUCCUGUACCACCUAUAAUCGUUUUAAUCGAUGGGGGGACGCAGUAGNAUAGGCGAAGCGUGCGAUUGGAUUGCACGUCUAAGCAGUAAGGCUGAGUAUUAGGCAAAUCCGGUACUCGUUAAGGCUGAGCUGUGAUGGGGAGAAGACAUUGUGUCUUCGAGUCGUUGAUUUCACACUGCCGAGAAAAGCCUCUAGAUAGAAAAUAGGUGCCCGUACCGCAAACCGACACAGGUAGUCAAGAUGAGAAUUCUAAGGUGAGCGAGCGAACUCUCGUUAAGGAACUCGGCAAAAUGACCCCGUAACUUCGGGAGAAGGGGUGCUCUUUAGGGUUAACGCCCAGAAGAGCCGCAGUGAAUAGGCCCAAGCGACUGUUUAUCAAAAACACAGGUCUCUGCUAAACCGUAAGGUGAUGUAUAGGGGCUGACGCCUGCCCGGUGCUGGAAGGUUAAGAGGAGUGGUUAGCUUCUGCGAAGCUACGAAUCGAAGCCCCAGUAAACGGCGGCCGUAACUAUAACGGUCCUAAGGUAGCGAAAUUCCUUGUCGGGUAAGUUCCGACCCGCACGAAAGGCGUAACGAUUUGGGCACUGUCUCAACGAGAGACUCGGUGAAAUCAUAGUACCUGUGAAGAUGCAGGUUACCCGCGACAGGACGGAAAGACCCCGUGGAGCUUUACUGUAGCCUGAUAUUGAAAUUCGGCACAGCUUGUACAGGAUAGGUAGGAGCCUUUGAAACGUGAGCGCUAGCUUACGUGGAGGCGCUGGUGGGAUACUACCCUAGCUGUGUUGGCUUUCUAACCCGCACCACUUAUCGUGGUGGGAGACAGUGUCAGGCGGGCAGUUUGACUGGGGCGGUCGCCUCCUAAAAGGUAACGGAGGCGCUCAAAGGUUCCCUCAGAAUGGUUGGAAAUCAUUCAUAGAGUGUAAAGGCAUAAGGGAGCUUGACUGCGAGACCUACAAGUCGAGCAGGGUCGAAAGACGGACUUAGUGAUCCGGUGGUUCCGCAUGGAAGGGCCAUCGCUCAACGGAUAAAAGCUACCCCGGGGAUAACAGGCUUAUCUCCCCCAAGAGUUCACAUCGACGGGGAGGUUUGGCACCUCGAUGUCGGCUCAUCGCAUCCUGGGGCUGUAGUCGGUCCCAAGGGUUGGGCUGUUCGCCCAUUAAAGCGGUACGCGAGCUGGGUUCAGAACGUCGUGAGACAGUUCGGUCCCUAUCCGUCGUGGGCGUAGGAAAUUUGAGAGGAGCUGUCCUUAGUACGAGAGGACCGGGAUGGACAUACCUCUGGUGUACCAGUUGUCGUGCCAACGGCAUAGCUGGGUAGCUAUGUGUGGACGGGAUAAGUGCUGAAAGCAUCUAAGCAUGAAGCCCCCCUCAAGAUGAGAUUUCCCAACUUCGGUUAUAAGAUCCCUCAAAGAUGAUGAGGUUAAUAGGUUCGAGGUGGAAGCAUGGUGACAUGUGGAGCUGACGAAUACUAAUCGAUCGAAGACUUAAUCAA